UCCAACACAUAGGUACUUACAUUAAAUUGGUAUCCAUGCAUGACUAAGGAAAUCUCAUCACACUGUGCCCUACAACCAAUCACCUCUCCAUUGCCUACUAACACCUAGAGCGGUGUCACUUGCCGCAUUGGAAAGCAAAAUUUCUCAGCCACACUUGUUUUUACAAUAUUGUAAGUGCUACGCCCAUCAAUAAGAACUGUCCCAGAUAAGUUCCCUUCAAGUGAAAAGUAGUUGGUUGAUACUGGCCUACUAGGACAUUAAAGCUAAUCCCUAGCUGGGUGGGUUGAACUAUAAUUGGCUUUUCUGGUUCAGUAGUUUCUAUAAUGGAUAGAUCGGAUUUUCUUAAUAUUUCUUGCAUCUCUUCUUCACCAACUAGCAAGUAACAAGUAGAUUUACAUCAGUGAGUUAGUGACCACUUAUCUUCAGAUUAGUAACAUAAGCUUUUCUCUCUCUUUUGCUUAAUCUUUAUGGUUAUGAGAUUCUUAACGGUAUAGUGUUUACAGGUGUAGGAGUAGACGAUAUGACUUGUGUUAAAGGUGGUUUAAUGGGGCUGAUAUGUUGUUUGGGCAUGUUUGGUUGUGUAGUAGUGGAAGAGUAGUGUGUGCUAUUAUGGGGUUUUUACGAGAGUAGCUUUGGUAGAGGCCUGGUGCUUCUGUUCGUAUAAUUUGGCCA
RNAcentral lists this long non-coding RNA (672 nucleotides) under Arachis ipaensis. RNAcentral describes it as "long non-coding RNA (AIPA_LNC000888)". The record is from RNAcentral. Lineage: Eukaryota; Viridiplantae; Streptophyta; Magnoliopsida; Fabales; Fabaceae.